Molecule: ribosomal RNA, 301 nt
Filed under: uncultured bacterium
Lineage: Bacteria
Description: partial 16S ribosomal RNA
Rfam family: Bacterial small subunit ribosomal RNA
Source: RNAcentral
CAGCAGCCGCGGUAAAACGAAGGGUGCAAGCGUUAAUCGGAAUUACUGGGCGUAAAGCGUGCGUAGGCGGUUUGUUAAGUCUGCUGUGAAAUCCCCGGGCUCAACCUGGGAAUGGCAGUGGAUACUGGCAAGCUAGAGUGUGUCAGAGGAUGGUGGAAUUCCCGGUGUGGCGGUGAAAUGCGUAGAGAUCGGGAGGAACAUCAGUGGCGAAGGCGGCCAUCUGGGACAACACUGACGCUGAGGCACGAAAGCGUGGGGAGCAAACAGGAUUAGAUACCCCCGUAGUCCCUGUCUCUUAUAC